Molecule: non-coding RNA, 233 nt
Organism: Pimephales promelas (fathead minnow)
Lineage: Eukaryota; Metazoa; Chordata; Actinopteri; Cypriniformes; Leuciscidae
Source: RefSeq, a predicted model, not a curated record
CUAUAGUCACCAGUUCCAAAUUCUGCAUUAUCAUCCCAGUCCCAGAGGACACCCCAUUAAUUUCCUAAUGUUGUCUUGCCUCUUGACCGCUGCAUUCGGGAGAGAACACAGAAGUGAGGAUGCUGUGAUUGUGACGAGGUGGAGCCCAAACGCCACAGAUUAAGAUGUUGAUGCAGCAAUGGCGAACACCUGAAGCACACUCAAGAAGAGCUGGAUAUAAAAAUAGCCAUAAA